This 508-nucleotide ribosomal RNA is filed under the name Scheffersomyces ergatensis. Its description in RNAcentral is "eukaryotic LSU rRNA". It matches the Rfam family "Eukaryotic large subunit ribosomal RNA", at positions 121 to 647 of the family's 3401-position model. Lineage: Eukaryota; Fungi; Ascomycota; Pichiomycetes; Serinales; Debaryomycetaceae. The record is from RNAcentral.
UCUGGCGCCUUCGGUGUCCGAGUUGUAAUUUGAAGAAGGUAACUUUGGUUUUGGCUCUUGUCUAUGUUCCUUGGAACAGGACGUCACAGAGGGUGAGAAUCCCGUGCGAUGAGAUGCCCAAUUCCAUGUAAAGUGCUUUCGAAGAGUCGAGUUGUUUGGGAAUGCAGCUCUAAGUGGGUGGUAAAUUCCAUCUAAAGCUAAAUAUUGGCGAGAGACCGAUAGCGAACAAGUACAGUGAUGGAAAGAUGAAAAGAACUUUGAAAAGAGAGUGAAAAAGUACGUGAAAUUGUUGAAAGGGAAGGGCUUGAGAUCAGACUUGGUAUUUUGUAUGUCUUGCUUUCGGGUAGGGCCUCUGCAGUUUAUCGGGCCAGCAUCAGUUUGGAUGGUAGGAUAAUGACAUUGGAACGUAGCACUGCUUCGGUGGUGUGUUAUAGACUUUGUUGAUACUGCCUGUCUAGACUGAGGACUGCGUCUUUGACUAGGAUGCUGGCAUAAUGAUCCUAAGCCA